This is a long non-coding RNA of Myotis brandtii (Brandt's bat), 101 nucleotides long. RefSeq lists it as uncharacterized. The record is from RefSeq and is a predicted model, not a curated record. The transcript has 3 exons. Lineage: Eukaryota; Metazoa; Chordata; Mammalia; Chiroptera; Vespertilionidae.
UCAUAACAAUAAAGUGCUAUUUUUCCAUACCUUUUCUAUGUUUAGAUUUGUUUAGAUACACAAACACUUACCAUUGUGUUAAAAUUGCCUACAGUCUUCAG